Molecule: ribosomal RNA, 301 nt
Filed under: uncultured bacterium
Lineage: Bacteria
Description: partial 16S ribosomal RNA
Rfam family: Bacterial small subunit ribosomal RNA
Source: RNAcentral
CAGCCGCCGCGGUAAUACGUAGGGUGCGAGCGUUGUCCGGAAUUACUGGGCGUAAAGGGCUCGUAGGUGGUUUGUCGCGUCGUCUGUGAAAUUCCGGGGCUUAACUCCGGGCGUGCAGGCGAUACGGGCAUAACUUGAGUACUGUAGGGGUAACUGGAAUUCCUGGUGUAGCGGUGAAAUGCGCAGAUAUCAGGAGGAACACCGAUGGCGAAGGCAGGUUACUGGGCAGUUACUGACGCUGAGGAGCGAAAGCAUGGGUAGCGAACAGGAUUAGAUACCCCAGUAGUCCCUGUCUCUUAUA